Molecule: ribosomal RNA, 334 nt
Filed under: uncultured eukaryote
Lineage: Eukaryota
Description: partial 18S ribosomal RNA
Rfam family: Eukaryotic small subunit ribosomal RNA
Source: RNAcentral
CCCUUAGAUGUCCGGGGCCGCACGCGCGCUACACUGAAGGAAUCAGCGUGGCUUUCUCCCUGACCCGAAAGGGUUGAGAAACCCGUUGAAUCUCCUUCGUGAUAGGGAUUGGGGCUUGAAAUUGUUCCCCAUGAACGAGGAAUUCCCAGUAAGCGCGAGUCAUAAGCUCGCGUUGAUUACGUCCCUGCCCUUUGUACACACCGCCCGUCGCUACUACCGAUUGAACGGUUUAGUGAGGGCCUCGGAUUGGUCUCGGCCCGCUCUUUACCGGGCGGCGCCGUUGGUCGAGAAGACGCUCGAACUUGAUCGUUUAGAGGAAGUAAAAGUCGUAACA